Molecule: long non-coding RNA, 842 nt
Organism: Vespula pensylvanica (western yellowjacket)
Lineage: Eukaryota; Metazoa; Arthropoda; Insecta; Hymenoptera; Vespidae
Exons: 3
Source: RefSeq, a predicted model, not a curated record
GCGACCUCACCGAGCAACAGUUGCGCAGUCGAGCGUGCGUGUCGCGAGCGAGCGAGCGAGCGCAGAGAUCGGUUAUUCGUCGUUGGUGGAUGUAUAAAUUGACAGAUGCGAUACCGCGCUCGGUUCGUAUCGAUCGCGAUCCGAUCUUCCUCGUUUCUCGUUUGCCUACAUAUCGAACAUUCUCUUUCGGCCGAUGCACGUGUCGCGCGAGGACAACCGGACGAUAAAAUCAUUUUAUCGAGAACAAGCAUCGUCAGUGUUGUCCGAACGAUCGAAACAGACAAGUGUGUUAUAAUAAUAUAAUAACAACGACGAAAAUAAUAGAUCGCUCGAUCGAUCGUACGAUCUACCGAAUGAAAGAGAAAGAACGAAGAACUUGAUUCUCUUUUUUCCUUUUCUUCUUACUGAAUAUUAUUUUGCUGAACGAAGAUUUUGAUGACGAUCGUAUGAUCCUUCGAGGAAGUAUUAUGUUAUAAAAUUAAAUCGAAGGAUACCGUUUCUUCGAUUUUUAACAAUCUCGUAUUUACGAGAUACGACGUACGAGGAUUAACGAUAGAGAUCGUUACAGAGGAUAUCGUUUGCAAGUGUACGAGAGAUCGUCGAAAUCGACAAAGCGACAUUGCACGUGGCAUCGUUUAUUGUCGAUAUUAAAGUUAGGUGACUCGUGUGACGCUACCUUUAGUGCCACUGAUUCAUCUCGGUUUUAUCAAAGGAUCGGCUAUGAGAUUGGCGAGCUCGAACGAAUGAUUGAUUCGUGAAUUUCGUUUUCAGAAGAAAUUACAAGGCGAGAGAGUCGUUCGAAAGGAUUAAAUACGAAGAAAAAGAAGAGGAGGAGAAGGAAG